RNAcentral lists this non-coding RNA (1170 nucleotides) under Drosophila sechellia. RNAcentral describes it as "Eukaryotic large subunit ribosomal RNA". It matches the Rfam family "Eukaryotic large subunit ribosomal RNA", at positions 1188 to 2193 of the family's 3401-position model. The record is from Rfam by way of RNAcentral. Lineage: Eukaryota; Metazoa; Arthropoda; Insecta; Diptera; Drosophilidae.
GCCCAAUUACAACUCAUGCAGAUACCAUGAAAGGCGUGGUGCUUAACAGCAGGACGGUGAUCAUGGAAGUCGAAUCCGCUAAGGAGUGUGUAACAACUCACCUGCCGAAGCAACUAGCCCUUAAAUGGAUGGCGCUUAAGUUGUAUACCUAUACAUUACCGCUAAAGUAGAUGAUUUAUAUUACUUGUGAUAUAAAUUUUGAAACUUUAGUGAGUAGGAAGGUACAAUGGUAUGCGUAGAAGUGUUUGGCGUAAGCCUGCAUGGAGCUGCCAUUGGUACAGAUCUUGGUGGUAGUAGCAAAUAAUCGAAUGAGACCUUGGAGGACUGAAGUGGAGAAGGGUUUCGUGUGAACAGUGGUUGAUCACGAGUUAGUCGGUCCUAAGUUCAAGGCGAAAGCCGAAAAUUUUCAAGUAAAACAAAAAUGCCUAACUAUAUAAACAAAGCGAAUAUAAUACACUUGAAUAAUUUUGAACGAAAGGGAAUACGGUUCCAAUUCCGUAACCUGUUGAGUAUCCGUUUGUUAUUAAAUAUGGGCCUCGUGCUCAUCCUGGCAACAGGAACGACCAUAAAGAAGCCGUCGAGAGAUAUCGGAAGAGUUUUCUUUUCUGUUUUAUAGCCGUACUACCAUGGAAGUCUUUCGCAGAGAGAUAUGGUAGAUGGGCUAGAAGAGCAUGACAUAUACUGUUGUGACGAUAUUUUCUCCUCGGACCUUGAAAAUUUAUGGUGGGGACACGCAAACUUCUCAACAGGCCGUACCAAUAUCCGCAGCUGGUCUCCAAGGUGAAGAGUCUCUAGUCGAUAGAAUAAUGUAGGUAAGGGAAGUCGGCAAAUUAGAUCCGUAACUUCGGGAUAAGGAUUGGCUCUGAAGAUUGAGAUAGUCGGGCUUGAUUGGGAAACAAUAACAUGGUUUAUGUGCUCGUUCUGGGUAAAUAGAGUUUCUAGCAUUUAUGUUAGUUACUUGUUCCCCGGAUAGUUUAGUUACGUAGCCAAUUGUGGAACUUUCUUGCUAAAAUUUUUAAGAAUACUAUUUGGGUUAAACCAAUUAGUUCUUAUCAAUUAUAACGAUUAUCAAUUAACAAUCAAUUCAGAACUGGCACGGACUUGGGGAAUCCGACUGUCUAAUUAAACACAAAGCAUUGUGAUGGCCCUAGCGGGUGUUGACACAAUGUG